AGAGUUUGAUCAUGGCUCAGGACGAACGCUGACGGUGUGCUUUAGACAUGCAAGUCGAACGAGAAAACCCUUCGGGGUGAGUACAGUGGCGAACGGGUGAGUAACACGUGGGUAACCUGCCCCUCGCAGAGGGACAACCGGGGGAAACCCCGGCUAAUACCUCGUACGCUUGCCGGGUCGCAUGGUCCGGCAAGGAAAGGUAGCUUCGGCCAUCCGGCGAGGGAUGGGCCCGCGGUGCAUUAGCUAGUUGGUGGGGUAACGGCUCACCAAGGCGACGAUGCAUAGCUGGUCUGAGAGGAUGAUCAGCCACACUGGGACUGAGACACGGCCCAGACUCCUACGGGAGGCAGCAGUCGGGAAUCUUGCGCAAUGGGCGAAAGCCUGACGCAGCAACACCGUGUGGGCGACGAAGGCCUUCGGGUCGUAAAGCCCUGUUGUUGGGGACGAAGGGCAAAGGGUUAAUAGCCCCUAGCCUGACGGUACCCUUCGAGGAAGCCCCGGCUAACUACGUGCCAGCAGCCGCGGUAAUACGUAGGGGGCGAGCGUUGUCCGGAAUUAUUGGGCGUAAAGAGCGUGUAGGCGGUUCGGUAAGUCUGCCGUGAAAACCUGGGGCUCAACCCCGGGCGUGCGGUGGAUACUGCCGGGCUAGAGGGUGGUAGAGGCGAGUGGAAUUCCCGGUGUAGCGGUGAAAUGCGCAGAUAUCGGGAGGAACACCAGUAGCGAAGGCGGCUCGCUGGGCCAUUCCUGACGCUGAGACGCGAAAGCUAGGGGAGCAAACAGGAUUAGAUACCCCCGUAGUCC
This 801-nucleotide ribosomal RNA is filed under the name uncultured Rubrobacter sp. RNAcentral describes it as "bacterial SSU rRNA". It matches the Rfam family "Bacterial small subunit ribosomal RNA", at positions 8 to 796 of the family's 1533-position model. Lineage: Bacteria; Bacillati; Actinomycetota; Rubrobacteria; Rubrobacterales; Rubrobacteraceae. The record is from RNAcentral.